UGCAGGCGUAACUUGCUGGAAACCCCCCCCGG
Molecule: ribosomal RNA, 32 nt
Filed under: Stentor amethystinus
Lineage: Eukaryota; Ciliophora; Heterotrichea; Heterotrichida; Stentoridae
Description: partial 28S ribosomal RNA
Source: RNAcentral